Molecule: ribosomal RNA, 254 nt
Filed under: uncultured bacterium
Lineage: Bacteria
Description: partial 16S ribosomal RNA
Rfam family: Bacterial small subunit ribosomal RNA
Source: RNAcentral
UACGUAGGGUGCGAGCGUUGUCCGGAAUUAUUGGGCGUAAAGAGCUCGUAGGCGGUGUGUCGCGUCGGCCGUGAAAACCUGCAGCUUAACUGUGGGCGUGCGGUCGAUACGGGCAUCACUGGAGUUUGGCAGGGGAGACUGGAAUUCCUGGUGUAGCGGUGAAAUGCGCAGAUAUCAGGAGGAACACCGGUGGCGAAGGCGGGUCUCUGGACAGUUCCUGACGCUGAGGCACGAAGGUCAGGGGAGCAAACGGG